RNAcentral lists this ribosomal RNA (638 nucleotides) under Penicillium osmophilum. Its description in RNAcentral is "eukaryotic LSU rRNA". It matches the Rfam family "Eukaryotic large subunit ribosomal RNA", at positions 1 to 649 of the family's 3401-position model. Lineage: Eukaryota; Fungi; Ascomycota; Eurotiomycetes; Eurotiales; Aspergillaceae. The record is from RNAcentral.
AGGUUGACCUCGGAUCAGGUAGGGAUACCCGCUGAACUUAAGCAUAUCAAUAAGCGGAGGAAAAGAAACCAACAGGGAUUGCCCCAGUAACGGCGAGUGAAGCGGCAAGAGCUCAAAUUUGAAAGCUGGCUCCUUCGGGGUCCGCAUUGUAAUUUGCAGAGGAUGCUUCGGGAGCGGUCCCCAUCUAAGUGCCCUGGAACGGGACGUCAUAGAGGGUGAGAAUCCCGUAUGGGAUGGGGUGUCCGCGCCCGUGUGAAGCUCCUUCGACGAGUCGAGUUGUUUGGGAAUGCAGCUCUAAAUGGGUGGUAAAUUUCAUCUAAAGCUAAAUAUUGGCCGGAGACCGAUAGCGCACAAGUAGAGUGAUCGAAAGAUGAAAAGCACUUUGAAAAGAGAGUUAAAAAGCACGUGAAAUUGUUGAAAGGGAAGCGCUUGCGACCAGACUCGCUCGCGGGGUUCAGCCGGCAUUCGUGCCGGUGUACUUCCCCGCGGGCGGGCCAGCGUCGGUUUGGGCGGUCGGUCAAAGGCCCUCGGAAGGUAACGCCCCCAGGGGCCGUCUUAUAGCCGAGGGUGCAAUGCGACCUGCCUAGACCGAGGAACGCGCUUCGGCUCGGACGCUGGCAUAAUGGUCGUAAGCGACC